RNAcentral lists this ribosomal RNA (253 nucleotides) under uncultured bacterium. Its description in RNAcentral is "partial 16S ribosomal RNA". It matches the Rfam family "Bacterial small subunit ribosomal RNA", at positions 524 to 776 of the family's 1533-position model. The record is from RNAcentral.
UACGUAGGUGGCAAGCGUUGUCCGGAUUUACUGGGCGUAAAGCGCGCGUAGGUGGCUUGGCAAGUCUGUGGUGAAAUCUCUCGGCUUAACCGAGAGGGGUCUAUGGAUACUGCCAGGCUUGAGUGUCGUAGAGGAAGGCGGAAUUCCCGGUGUAGUGGUGAAAUGCGUAGAUAUCGGGAGGAACACCAGUGGCGAAAGCGGCCUUCCAGACGAUAACUGACGCUGAGGCGCGAAAGCGUGGGGAGCGAACCGG